Oncorhynchus kisutch (coho salmon) is the source of this 922-nucleotide long non-coding RNA. RefSeq lists it as uncharacterized. Lineage: Eukaryota; Metazoa; Chordata; Actinopteri; Salmoniformes; Salmonidae. The transcript is spliced from 2 exons. The record is from RefSeq and is a predicted model, not a curated record.
CACAUCAUUACAACACUGUAUAUAUGUAUAUAAUAUUACAUUUGAAAUGUCUGUGAGUGUAAUGUUUACUGUUCAUUGGUUAUGUUUACUUGCCUUGGCAACAUUAUCAUAUGUUUCCCAUGACAAUAAGGCCCUUGGGGGGGGGGAUGGGAUGUCACAGAAGAUCAGGUCACCACGGGGGGUGACAACGUCAAGCUGGGGAACUCAGAUCUGCUGAUCUGCGGACAAACGCAACAACAGCCCCAUUGCCAUGGAUCCUGACGGGCUACAUCUACAUCUAAAGGGUCCAACAGCAGCCUCUUCACCUAGAUGACUGAGGAGGAGUUUGAGGACUGGGUCAAUGUUCUAGAGGUCCCACUCCAGCCUCUUCACCUGGAUGACUGAGGAGGAGUUUGAGGACUGGGUCAAUGUUCUAGAGGUCCCACUCCAGCCUCUACACCUGGAUGACUGAGGAGGAGUUUGAGGACUGGGUCAAUGUUCUAGAGGUCCCACAGCAGCCUCUUCACCUGGAUGACUGAGGAGGAGUUUGAGGACUGGGUCAAUGUUCUAUAGGUUGACCCAGACUCUAAGGGGUUCAUUCAAAUAUGAACUUUAAAACUAUGCCUCUGAUGCGUUUCUUCAUCACCAACAGGAAAGACAAGUUUAAAUAUAGUGACAGUUUGUUUCCCAACAGGAAAGACAAGUUUAAAUAUAGUGACAGUUUGUUUCCCAACAGGAAAGACAAGUUUAAAUAUAGUGACAGUUUGUUUCCCAACAGGAAAGACAAGUUUAAAUAUAGUGACAGUUUGUUUCCCUCUUGGUGCAUUUCUCCAUCUGCUCCUGUGUCCUAAAAUGGCCAUUUCAUUCAUCCCAGCAACAGUUACAGAUUUAGGAUGUGUUGAGUGAUUACUGCAUAUAAACUUAAAUAAACAGUCUUUAUAUG